Molecule: transfer RNA, 76 nt
Filed under: Chryseobacterium sp. MYb7
Lineage: Bacteria; Pseudomonadati; Bacteroidota; Flavobacteriia; Flavobacteriales; Weeksellaceae
Description: tRNA-Phe
Rfam family: tRNA
About the family: Transfer RNA (tRNA) molecules are approximately 80 nucleotides in length. Their secondary structure includes four short double-helical elements and three loops (D, anti-codon, and T loops).
Source: RNAcentral
GGAAGAGUGGUGUAGAAGGUCUGCGUGUUAGUCUGAAAAACUGAAGGUACAGGUUCAAUUCCUGUCUGUUCCACAA